GGUAAAUCUACAUUAGUUAGUGAGUUCCCACACUGCCUCCCUGGGAUUUUCUUUUUCAAUUGAAGUUCCCAUUGCAGUGGCAUAGCUGAUGGGUAGACGACCGAGGCGCGCCCGAGUCACAUACACUCAGCUACCGGUGACAGCAGCGCGUCUCAAGCCUCGCCCGGACACUAGAGAAUUCACCAAUCAGAACACAGGAUUCGCACCGAGGCUCAGAACGCAGCUGGCUACACAUGCGCAGUGAGAAAAUGUGUUGUUGUGAAGCGUCGCUCCUGCCUAAAAGGAACACUGUGCAUCAAGGAUUUCACGAUCUUGGACUGACAAUUUUGUAAGGCCUGCUUCCUGUAAAAACUUCAGACCAUCGUUUGGAUCAUCUGUCGGGGCUUCAUUAAGUCCUUUAAAGUGUUCCGUUAGUAUGUGCCUAAUUUGUUUGGGAUCUUGUGUCCAUCCGUCAACCGUUUUAAGUUUUUGUAUAUAUGUAGUGCGUGUUUGUUUCUUUGCUAUAUAUGCUAAUAAUUUCCCAGAUUUGUUGCCGUGUCUAUAAUACUGGUUUGCUGUUUGGCUUAGCGUAUUGUAAGCUUUUCCAGUUAAUAAAGUUUUUGUCUCUCUGUA
Molecule: long non-coding RNA, 612 nt
Organism: Xenopus laevis (African clawed frog)
Lineage: Eukaryota; Metazoa; Chordata; Amphibia; Anura; Pipidae
Exons: 3
Source: RefSeq, a predicted model, not a curated record